GAUGAACGCUGGCGGCGUGCCUAAUACAUGCAAGUCGAGCGAACGGACGAGAAGCUUGCUUUUCUGAUGUUAGCGGCGGACGGGUGAGUAACACGUGGAUAACCUACCUAUAAGACUGGGAUAACUUCGGGAAACCGGAGCUAAUACCGGAUAAUAUUUUGAACCGCAUGGUUCAAAAGUGAAAGACGGUCUUGCUGUCACUUAUAGAUGGAUCCGCGCUGCAUUAGCUAGUUGGUAAGGUAACGGCUUACCAAGGCAACGAUGCAUAGCCGACCUGAGAGGGUGAUCGGCCACACUGGAACUGAGACACGGUCCAGACUCCUACGGGAGGCAGCAGUAGGGAAUCUUCCGCAAUGGGCGAAAGCCUGACGGAGCAACGCCGCGUGAGUGAUGAAGGUCUUCGGAUCGUAAAACUCUGUUAUUAGGGAAGAACAUAUGUGUAAGUAACUGUGCACAUCUUGACGGUACCUAAUCAGAAAGCCACGGCUAACUACGUGCCAGCAGCCGCGGUAAUACGUAGGUGGCAAGCGUUAUCCGGAAUUAUUGGGCGUAAAGCGCGCGUAGGCGGUUUUUUAAGUCUGAUGUGAAAGCCCACGGCUCAACCGUGGAGGGUCAUUGGAAACUGGAAAACUUGAGUGCAGAAGAGGAAAGUGGAAUUCCAUGUGUAGCGGUGAAAUGCGCAGAGAUGUGGAGGAACACCAGUGGCGAAGGCGACUUUCUGGUCUGUAACUGACGCUGAUGUGCGAAAGCGUGGGGAUCAAACAGGAUUAGAUACCCUGGUAGUCCACGCCGUAAACGAUGAGUGCUAAGUGUUAGGGGGUUUCCGCCCCUUAGUGCUGCAGCUAACGCAUUAAGCACUCCGCCUGGGGAGUACGACCGCAAGGUUGAAACUCAAAGGAAUUGACGGGGGCCCGCACAAGCGGUGGAGCAUGUGGUUUAAUUCGAAGCAACGCGAAGAACCUUACCAAAUCUUGACAUCCUUUGACAACUCUAGAGAUAGAGCCUUCCCCUUCGGGGGACAAAGUGACAGGUGGUGCAUGGUUGUCGUCAGCUCGUGUCGUGAGAUGUUGGGUUAAGUCCCGCAACGAGCGCAACCCUUAAGCUUAGUUGCCAUCAUUAAGUUGGGCACUCUAAGUUGACUGCCGGUGACAAACCGGAGGAAGGUGGGGAUGACGUCAAAUCAUCAUGCCCCUUAUGAUUUGGGCUACACACGUGCUACAAUGGACAAUACCAAGGGCAGCGAAACCGCGAGGUCAAGCAAAUCCCAUAAAGUUGUUCUCAGUUCGGAUUGUAGUCUGAAACUCGACUACAUGAAGCUGGAAUCGCUAGUAAUCGUAGAUCAGCAUGCUACGGUGAAUACGUUCCCGCCUCU
RNAcentral lists this ribosomal RNA (1372 nucleotides) under uncultured bacterium. RNAcentral's name for it is "bacterial SSU rRNA". It matches the Rfam family "Bacterial small subunit ribosomal RNA", at positions 28 to 1381 of the family's 1533-position model. The record is from RNAcentral.